This 619-nucleotide ribosomal RNA is filed under the name uncultured bacterium. Its description in RNAcentral is "bacterial SSU rRNA". It matches the Rfam family "Bacterial small subunit ribosomal RNA", at positions 338 to 956 of the family's 1533-position model. The record is from RNAcentral.
CCUACGGGAGGCAGCAGUGGGGAAUAUUGGACAAUGGGGGGAACCCUGAUCCAGCCAUGCCGCGUGUGUGAAGAAGGCCUUAUGGUUGUAAAGCACUUUAAGCGUAGGAGGAGGCUCUUCUAGUUAAUACCUAGGAUGAGUGGACGUUACUCGCAGAAUAAGCACCGGCUAACUCUGUGCCAGCAGCCGCGGUAAUACAGAGGGUGCGAGCGUUAAUCGGAUUUACUGGGCGUAAAGCGUGCGUAGGCGGCUUUUUAAGUCGGAUGUGAAAUCCCCGAGCUUAACUUGGGAAUUGCAUUCGAUACUGGGAAGCUAGAGUAUGGGAGAGGAUGGUAGAAUUCCAGGUGUAGCGGUGAAAUGCGUAGAGAUCUGGAGGAAUACCGAUGGCGAAGGCAGCCAUCUGGCCUAAUACUGACGCUGAGGUACGAAAGCAUGGGGAGCAAACUAGGAUUAGAUACCCUGGUAGUCCAUGCCGUAAACGAUGUCUACUAGCCUUGGGGCCUUUGAGGCUUUAGCGGUCGCAGCUAACGCGAUAAGUAGACCGCCUGGGGAAUCGGUCGCAAGCAAACGUUAAUGAAAUUGACGGCUGAGACGNGCGAGGACGACGACGAGGGAGAGG